GAUAAAAUUGGAUAGCGGGUAGCUAUUUGGUUAUUCAUAGAAGAUUAGCAUGGCCCCUGCGCAAGGAUGACACGCACAAAUCAAAGUGAAAAAGUUUAA
Molecule: small nuclear RNA, 99 nt
Organism: Humulus lupulus (European hop)
Lineage: Eukaryota; Viridiplantae; Streptophyta; Magnoliopsida; Rosales; Cannabaceae
Source: RefSeq, a predicted model, not a curated record